GACGAACGCUGGCGGCGUGCUUAACACAUGCAAGUCGAACGGAAAGGCCCUGCGUUUGUGGGGUGCUCGAGUGGCGAACGGGUGAGUAACACGUGAGUAACCUGCCCUUGACUUUGGGAUAACUUCAGGAAAGUGGGGCUAAUACCGUAUAGGAGCUCCUGUUGCAUGGUGGGGGUUGGAAAGUUUCGGCGGGUGGGGAUGGACGCGCGGCUUAUCAGCUAGUUGGUGGGGGAGGGGCUUACCAAGGCUUUGACGGGUAGCCGGCCUGAGAGGGUGACCGGCCACAUUGGUCCUGCGAGACGGCCCAGACUCCUACGGGAGGCAGCGGUGGGGAAUAUUGCACAAUGGGCGGAAGCCUGAUGAAGCAACGCCGCGUUCGGGAUGACGGCCUUCGGGUUGUAAACCGCUUUCGCCUGUGACGAAGCGUGAGUGACGGUAAUGGGUAAAGAAGCACCGGCUAACUACGUG
Molecule: ribosomal RNA, 468 nt
Filed under: uncultured bacterium
Lineage: Bacteria
Description: partial 16S ribosomal RNA
Rfam family: Bacterial small subunit ribosomal RNA
Source: RNAcentral